UACGUAGGGUGCAAGCGUUGUCCGGAAUUAUUGGGCGUAAAGAGCUUGUAGGCGGUUUGUCGCGUCUGCUGUGAAAUUUCGGGGCUCAACCCCGAACUUGCAGUGGGUACGGGCAGACUAAAGUGUGGUAGGGGAGACUGGAAUUCCUGGUGUAGCGGUGAAAUGCGCAGAUAUCAGGAGGAACACCGAUGGCGAAGGCAGGUCUCUGGGCCACUACUGACGCUGAGAAGCGAAAGCAUGGGGAGCGAACAGG
This 253-nucleotide ribosomal RNA is filed under the name uncultured bacterium. RNAcentral describes it as "partial 16S ribosomal RNA". It matches the Rfam family "Bacterial small subunit ribosomal RNA", at positions 524 to 776 of the family's 1533-position model. The record is from RNAcentral.